GGAAUUCAAAAACUGCAAUUUUUAAGAACCAUUUACCCAUCUAUACUAACUUCAAAAUAACCGUGAUUCGUUACUGGUUGAUAGAAAUGGCCCCGUGUAUAUAGCAAUCGAAUAACAGGUAAAUGUUAGGGUAGAUUUCAGCGGGUAGGUAAACAUAUUCCUCGACGAAAACAGCCGACACUGCACCCAGACGGCUGUCGGUGGGCCAAUGUGAGCUGUAUGGACACGUGCCGCGUCUCCAUAGGGUGGGUGCGCUGGAUCCUGCGAUUCCGAUUCCGGCAGGUAUAAAAGACCUCCGACCGCCUCUAAAUUGUCGGUAGCUAAGUCUCGCCGAGCCGGAAGAGGGAGGGAGACGCGGGCGGCGGAGGUGGCGGCGGAGAUGAUGCGGCGUUCGGGCUCGGAAGGGGGGUCGAGUGGGGGGUCGGCAGAGGAAAUGUGGGGGGAGGCGGCGGGGUGGGAGAUGAGGCCGGGAGGUUUGCUGGUCCAGCAGCGGGCUCCGGUCCCCGGGAGACCGCCGCCGCCGCAGGUGCGUGUCCGAAUCUCGUAUGGCGCUGCCAGAUACGAGGUCUCCGUCUCCUCCGUCGCCACCUUCGGAGAAUUGAAGAAGCUUCUGAUGGCCGAUUCAGGGUUGCAGCCUGCCGAGCAGAGGCUGCUUUACAAAGGGAAGCAGAGAGGCGACAGCGAGUACCUUGAUGCAUGUGGUGUGAAGAACCGGUCUAAGAUUGUAUUGGUUGAGGACUCGACAAGCUUGGAGAGAAGAUAUACUGAGAUGCGCAAGAAUGCAAGGAUGCAAAGGGCCCACCGAGCCAUCUCCACCAUUUCACUAGAUGUUGACAAAUUGGCAGAUCAGGUUACUACCAUGGAGAAAUAUAUUAGAAAUGGAAAUAAAGUUGCUGAAGUACAGAUCACAACAUUAAUAGAGUUGCUCAUGAGACAAGCUAUUAGACUGGAUAGCAUUUCCGCUGAGGGAGAUGCUUCUUCCCAAAGAAAUCUGCAGGCUAAAAGAGUACAAAAAUGUGUUGAAACACUGGAUGUGCUGAAAGUUUCCAACACCAAAUUGAAGCCAGUGGUAGUGACAACAAAGUGGGAGACAUUUGAUCCACCAACAACAACACAAUGGGAGUAUUUCGAGUGAUUCUACUCUUUCUCCUCCUCCUCUCAUUCUUUUGGUGUAUUGUUCAAGUGUUCACCAGCCACAGAGAUAGAUCGGCAGAGGGCAAAAGCAUCGGAAGUCCCCCCCCCCCGUCUCAGAGGCCGUCAAAUGUGGGGAUUCCUGCUGCGUUUUGUUGUCAUGUUCAGCCCACUCGGUGUUCGAUGAAAUGCCACGCCAACCACAGUAGUGAAAGAAAGGAUAAUGGCGGAAGCACAAGGAAGCCUUCUUAUUGGAGAAGAGGCGGUUGCAGGAAUCAAACCUCCUGUGGUCCGAUGCUGGGCUCACUGUGCAAGGCCACCAAGCACGGGUGAGUACUGAAGCGAUGCAACUUGUACUUGAAAGC
Molecule: RNA transcript, 1496 nt
Organism: Musa acuminata AAA Group (dessert banana)
Lineage: Eukaryota; Viridiplantae; Streptophyta; Magnoliopsida; Zingiberales; Musaceae
Gene name: BAG family molecular chaperone regulator 1
Exons: 5
Source: RefSeq, a predicted model, not a curated record